RNAcentral lists this transfer RNA (88 nucleotides) under Candidatus Stygibacter australis. Its description in RNAcentral is "tRNA-Leu". It matches the Rfam family "tRNA". From Rfam's summary of the family: Transfer RNA (tRNA) molecules are approximately 80 nucleotides in length. Their secondary structure includes four short double-helical elements and three loops (D, anti-codon, and T loops). Further hydrogen bonds mediate the characteristic L-shaped molecular structure. tRNAs have two regions of fundamental functional importance: the anti-codon, which is responsible for specific mRNA codon recognition, and the 3' end, to which the tRNAs corresponding amino acid is attached (by aminoacyl-tRNA synthetases). tRNAs cope with the degeneracy of the genetic code in two manners: having more than one tRNA (with a specific anti-codon) for a particular amino acid; and 'wobble' base-pairing, i.e. permitting non-standard base-pairing at the 3rd anti-codon position. Lineage: Bacteria; Pseudomonadati; Candidatus Cloacimonadota; Cloacimonadia (SeqCode); Cloacimonadales (SeqCode). The record is from RNAcentral.
GCAGAAGUGGCGGAAUUGGUAGACGCGCUAGGUUCAGGAUCUAGUGAGCAAUACGCUUGUAGGGGUUCGAGUCCCCUCUUCUGUACCA